RNAcentral lists this ribosomal RNA (232 nucleotides) under uncultured bacterium. RNAcentral describes it as "partial 16S ribosomal RNA". It matches the Rfam family "Bacterial small subunit ribosomal RNA", at positions 103 to 334 of the family's 1533-position model. The record is from RNAcentral.
CGGGUGAGUAACGCGUGAGGAACCUGCCUCAAAGAGGGGGACAACAGUUGGAAACGACUGCUAAUACCGCAUAAGCCCACGGCUCGGCAUCGAGCAGAGGGAAAAGGAGCAAUCCGCUUUGAGAUGGCCUCGCGUCCGAUUAGCUGUUGGUGAGGUAACGGCCCACCAAGGCGACGAUCGGUAGCCGGACUGAGAGGUUGAACGGCCACAUUGGGACUGAGACACGGCCCAG